Molecule: ribosomal RNA, 232 nt
Filed under: uncultured bacterium
Lineage: Bacteria
Description: partial 16S ribosomal RNA
Rfam family: Bacterial small subunit ribosomal RNA
Source: RNAcentral
UCGGAAUUACUGGGCGUAAAGCGUUCGUAGUCGGUCGCGUAAGUCAGAUGUGAAAGCCCCGGGCUCAACCUGGGAAUUGCAUUUGAGACUGCUCUGCUCGGGUGCGGAAGAGGGAAGCGGAAUUUCCGGUGUAGCGGUGAAAUGCGUAGAUAUCGGAAGGAACACCAGUGGCGAAAGCGGCUUCCUGGUCCGACACCGACGUUCAGGCACGAAAGCGUGGGGAGCAAACAGG